This 52-nucleotide transfer RNA is filed under the name Nitrospirae bacterium 13_2_20CM_62_7. RNAcentral describes it as "tRNA-Pro". The record is from RNAcentral. Lineage: Bacteria; Pseudomonadati; Nitrospirota.
CGGGGCGUAGCGCAGCCUGGUAGCGCACUCGCUUGGGGUGCGAGUGGUCGGC